RNAcentral lists this ribosomal RNA (218 nucleotides) under uncultured Lactobacillus sp. RNAcentral describes it as "partial 16S ribosomal RNA". It matches the Rfam family "Bacterial small subunit ribosomal RNA", at positions 144 to 355 of the family's 1533-position model. Lineage: Bacteria; Bacillati; Bacillota; Bacilli; Lactobacillales; Lactobacillaceae. The record is from RNAcentral.
UAACACCUGGAAACAGAUGCUAAUACCGGAUAACAACAGAUGAUGCCUAUCAACUGUUUAAAAGAUGGUUCUGCUAUCACUCUUGGAUGGACCUGCGGUGCAUUAGCUAGUUGGUAGGGUAACGGCCUACCAAGGCGAUGAUGCAUAGCCGAGUUGAGAGACUGAUCGGUCACAUUGGGACUGAGACACGGCCCAAACUCCUACGGGAGGCAGCAGCA